This is a long non-coding RNA of Cyprinodon tularosa, 864 nucleotides long. RefSeq lists it as uncharacterized. Lineage: Eukaryota; Metazoa; Chordata; Actinopteri; Cyprinodontiformes; Cyprinodontidae. The record is from RefSeq and is a predicted model, not a curated record. The transcript is spliced from 4 exons.
GCUAACUUGCUCACUCACUUGCUCACUCGCUGACUCACUCACUCACUCAUCUGUUAGAUUUUGGGUUGAUUUAAAAAGCACUGAAAGUGAAGGGGACUGACAGCUCUUACCUGAAGGCUUCGAUGAGUCUCUCCACCUUCUGUGCUUCUCCUUGAACUCGAACAUGAGCCUGAAACUUUCUCAGGGCCUCGUCAAGUUCCAUUCCUGAGAAAUCCAUCUCAUCCACUACACAGCUAUGAAGAAGAGGCAGGUUUUUCUCUGACGGAUGAACAGGACGGACCCCUCUCCAUCCAGCGGUUCCAGAGGUUCCAAUCUGCUGCGCAUCCUCCCCGAAGCAUCCAGGGAGCUGCUUCUCCGGGCUCCCGCGCUGGUUCCAGCGCCUAGCUCCCUCACACCCGAUCAGACCGUCAAUGCACAGCUCGCUCAAACCACCCAAGAGGAGACACACCCCCUCCUGCUCUAAGGAACAGAUUAAGAGCCCAUCAUUCAAGGAGACGGAGAAAUGAAAUAGGAAAUCGAAGGAGAAGCUGCAGCAAUCCGAGAAACAUUUCGUCGGCCAUAAAUCGAAUGGAAGGCAUCAUUUCUUUACCUCGCAACAGAGCAGAAACUCGACGCCUGGCUUUUCACGCAUUCGCAGCCGUCCCCGGGAUUCUUUCUUCACCCACCAUUAGAGACGAAGACCCCAGACUUCGUCUUUCCACUCUGAUUAAUGCGUUUUCCAUAUGUAGAAAGUUUUUUUAAUGAAAACAAUAUUGAACAAAGAUGUCGACCCACAUUCAUCUCAGUUAAACACAACCCCGAAUGUUUCUCAUUCUAGCGAAAAUCAAAAUGCAGCACAAACAGAAUCUUUUCAAAAUACAUUAA